RNAcentral lists this ribosomal RNA (305 nucleotides) under uncultured bacterium. RNAcentral's name for it is "partial 16S ribosomal RNA". It matches the Rfam family "Bacterial small subunit ribosomal RNA", at positions 508 to 807 of the family's 1533-position model. The record is from RNAcentral.
ACAGCAGUAGCCGCGGUAAAACGGAGGGUGCAAGCGUUAAUCGGAAUUACUGGGCGUAAAGCGCACGCAGGCGGUCUGACAAGUCAGAUGUGAAAUCCCCGGGCUUAACCUGGGAACUGCAUUUGAAACUGUCAGGCUGGAGUCUUGUAGAGGGGGGUGGAAUUCCAGGUGUAGCGGUGAAAUGCGUAGAGAUCUGGAGGAAUACCGGUGGCGAAGGCGGCCCCCUGGACAAAGACUGACGCUCAGGUGCGAAAGCGUGGGGAGCAAACAGGAUUAGAUACCCCGGUAGUCCCUGUCUCUUAUAC